Molecule: long non-coding RNA, 1120 nt
Filed under: Daphnia magna
Lineage: Eukaryota; Metazoa; Arthropoda; Branchiopoda; Diplostraca; Daphniidae
Description: uncharacterized LOC116927355, transcript variant X6
Source: RNAcentral
UCAGCUAUCAGAGAUUAGCAAAAUUCAAGCGGAAACUCUAGAUGGCGUUUAUGUGCAUCUAUGAUAAAUAUCAUGAAUGACAGGUUAAAUGGGUGUUUGUUACGUUACCCUGUUAUGUGUUUUAAAGGAUUUUUCGUCAAAAAAUUUACGAUUGCUGUUUGUACGUGGUGUUGUUUCGCCUUGUCAGCAAUGCCAGCGCCUGAACCAGCAGCCUGCAUUCCUGCUAUCAAUGUACCACAAGGGAUCCUGACACUUUAAGAAAGCCACUAUUCCUUACAUGAAGAUCACCAUCCAGUUCAAGUACUGUUAAUGGACCUCAAGCCUUUUGUUUAAGCUUAGUGAUGUGUUAUCUUGUCAGUCAACAACAGAGUCUUCAUCUACUUUGUGUUGCUAACCAUCAGCCCUCAGCAUCCCAGGUAUCCAGAUUUCCAAGUUUCUCUGAUUAGCCAACCAUCAUCCAUACCCUUCAGCUCUUCAAUGUGGCUUCUUUUCCUCUCUUCUUAGUCUGCUGAAUGCCAACAUUGAAUAAGGUUCAUCGUCAUUGCCUUUCCAUGGUAUUUUCAUUUGGUGGAUUAUCUAGCUGCUGUUCUUCUCACCAUUACUUAGCCAGCUCACGUGGAUAGGCUUUAACAACAUCUCCAUUUUUUGGACUGCAAAUAUUCAUCUUCCUUCGGUACAACUCUGCCGUUUGACAAUUUCGGUAGUUUUCCCCCCCAGUGGACCACACGCAACUACAUUUUCUUCGUCUUUCUGUCGUUGUUGUCUACGACUUCACCUCAUCGCUGUCUUCGUUGACGUCUUCGCCUUCAUCUCCGUCUCGUCGUCUUGGCCGUCUUCGAUUUGGUUUCAUCGUCGUCUUCGCCGUCUUCGCCUUUUUUUCAUCGUCGUCUUGGCCGUCUUCGCCUUUGUUUCAUCGCCGUCUUGGCCGUCUUUUUCUACGCCAUUACUUCGUCGCCGGCUUCUCCUUCGCGUUCACCGUGGAUCGUCGUCCUGGUAUUGUUUUAUUUUGCAUUGUUAUGUUUAAGUUAACCCGUUGGCUGCCACCCCGUUUGCGUCCCAUUUUUUUUGUAGCUUGUAGGGACCGGCCGCAAUGGCCUUCGCCGCAAGGCGCCUUAGGCAA